AACGAACGCUGGCGGCGUGCCUAACACAUGCAAGUCGAACGAAAACUCCCUGCUUUUGUGCGCUCGUCUACGUACGGCCUGGUAAGUUGCACUUGGGUUACCUGUACUUCCCCUUGGGGUAACUUCAUACCGCUUGAUCUCAUCCCACCAAGGAUCUCUUGCUGUGGGGUGGGCGUGGGUAGGAUUCGCCAGUUGGUAGGGUACAAGCCUACCAUGGCGACGAUCCAUAGCUGGUGUGAGAGGAUGAUCAGCCACACUGGGACUGAGACACGGCCCAGACUCCUACGGGAGGCAGGAGUGGGGAAUAUUGGACAAUGGGCGAAAGCCUGAUCCAGCAAUGCCGCGUGAGUGAUGAAGGCCUUAGGGUUGUAAAGCUCUUUUACCCGGGAUGAUAAUGACAGUACCGGGAGAAUAAGCUCCGGCUAACACCGUG
Molecule: ribosomal RNA, 433 nt
Filed under: uncultured bacterium
Lineage: Bacteria
Description: partial 16S ribosomal RNA
Rfam family: Bacterial small subunit ribosomal RNA
Source: RNAcentral